GGAGGGCGGUAUUUAUUANAUAACAAGCCAAUAUUCCUCUGGUCUAUUGUGGUGACUCAUAAUAACUGAUCGAAUCGCAAGGCCUAUGGCCGCGAUAAGUCAUUCAAGUUUCUGCCCCAUCAGCUUUCGAUGGUAGUGUAUUGGACUACCAUGGCGUUUACGGGUAACGGAGGAUUAGGGUUCGAUUCCGGAGAGGGAGCCUGAGAAACGGCUACCACAUCUAAGGAAGGCAGCAGGCGCGUAAAUUACCCAAUCCUGACUCAGGGAGGUAGUG
RNAcentral lists this ribosomal RNA (274 nucleotides) under uncultured Spirotrichea. RNAcentral's name for it is "partial small subunit ribosomal RNA". It matches the Rfam family "Eukaryotic small subunit ribosomal RNA", at positions 195 to 469 of the family's 1831-position model. The record is from RNAcentral. Lineage: Eukaryota; Ciliophora; Spirotrichea.